RNAcentral lists this ribosomal RNA (487 nucleotides) under uncultured bacterium. Its description in RNAcentral is "bacterial SSU rRNA". It matches the Rfam family "Bacterial small subunit ribosomal RNA", at positions 28 to 517 of the family's 1533-position model. The record is from RNAcentral.
GACGAACGCUGGCGGCGUGCUUAACACAUGCAAGUCGAACGGAACUCUUUGGAUCAAGACUUCGGUCAAGUGAGAUUGAGUUUAGUGGCGGACGGGUGAGUAACGCGUGAGGAACCUGCCUUUCAGAGGGGGACAACAGUUGGAAACGACUGCUAAUACCGCAUAACGCGUAGAGAUCGCAUGGUCUUUACGCCAAAGAUUUAUCGCUGAGAGAUGGCCUCGCGUCUGAUUAGCUAGUUGGUGAGGUAACGGCCCACCAAGGCGACGAUCAGUAGCCGGCUUGAGAGAGUGACCGGCCACAUUGGGACUGAGACACGGCCAAACUCCUACGGGAGGCAGCAGUGGGGAAUAUUGCACAAUGGAGGAAACUCUGAUGCAGCGAUGCCGCGUGAGGGAAGAAGGUUUUCGGAUUGUAAACCUCUGUCUUCAGGGACGAUAAUGACGGUACCUGAGGAGGAAGCUCCGGCUAACUACGUGCCAGCAGCCG